GAGUGGACGCAUCACUGGUGUUCGGGUUGUCAUGCCAAUGGCAUUGCCCGGUAGCUACAUGCGGAAGAGAUAAGUGCUGAAAGCAUCUAAGCACGAAACUUGCCCCGAGAUGAGUUCUCCCUGAGACCCAGAGUCUCCUGAAGGAACGUUAAAGACGAUGACGUUGAUAGGCCGGGUGUGUAAGCGCAGCGAUGCGUUGAGCUAACCGGUACUAAUGAACCGUGAGGCUUAACCUUACAACGCCGAAG
Molecule: ribosomal RNA, 248 nt
Filed under: Pluralibacter gergoviae
Lineage: Bacteria; Pseudomonadati; Pseudomonadota; Gammaproteobacteria; Enterobacterales; Enterobacteriaceae
Description: partial 23S ribosomal RNA
Rfam family: Bacterial large subunit ribosomal RNA
Source: RNAcentral